RNAcentral lists this ribosomal RNA (680 nucleotides) under uncultured bacterium. RNAcentral describes it as "bacterial SSU rRNA". It matches the Rfam family "Bacterial small subunit ribosomal RNA", at positions 84 to 799 of the family's 1533-position model. The record is from RNAcentral.
CUUCGGGUCUAGCGGCGGACGGGUUAGUAACGCGUGGGAAUAUACCCUUCACUACGGAAUAGCCUCGGGAAACUGGGAGUAAUACCGUAUACGCCCUUUGGGGGAAAGAUUUAUCGGUGAAGGAUUAGCCCGCGUCUGAUUAGAUAGUUGGUGGGGUAAUGGCCUACCAAGUCUACGAUCAGUAGCUGGUUUGAGAGGAUGAUCAGCAACACUGGGACUGAGACACGGCCCAGACUCCUACGGGAGGCAGCAGUGGGGAAUCUUAGACAAUGGGCGCAAGCCUGAUCUAGCCAUGCCGCGUGAGUGACGAAGGCCUUAGGGUCGUAAAGCUCUUUCGCCAGAGAUGAUAAUGACAGUAUCUGGUAAAGAAACCCCGGCUAACUCCGUGCCAGCAGCCGCGGUAAUACGGAGGGGGUUAGCGUUGUUCGGAAUUACUGGGCGUAAAGCGCACGUAGGCGGAUUGGAAAGUAUGGGGUGAAAUCCCAGGGCUCAACCCUGGAACGGCCUUGUAAACUCCCAGUCUAGAGUUCGAGAGAGGUGAGUGGAAUUCCAAGUGUAGAGGUGAAAUUCGUAGAUAUUUGGAGGAACACCAGUGGCGAAGGCGGCUCACUGGCUCGAUACUGACGCUGAGGUGCGAAAGUGUGGGGAGCAAACAGGAUUAGAUACCCUGGUAGUCCACA